This 72-nucleotide transfer RNA is filed under the name Toxocara canis (dog roundworm). It matches the Rfam family "tRNA". From Rfam's summary of the family: Transfer RNA (tRNA) molecules are approximately 80 nucleotides in length. Their secondary structure includes four short double-helical elements and three loops (D, anti-codon, and T loops). Lineage: Eukaryota; Metazoa; Nematoda; Chromadorea; Rhabditida; Toxocaridae. The record is from Rfam by way of RNAcentral.
GUGGCAGUAGCUCAGUGGUAGAGCUUCCGCUGUGUACGCGGGAACGCCUGGGUUGGAUUCCCGGCUGUUUCC